This 2904-nucleotide ribosomal RNA is filed under the name Salmonella enterica subsp. enterica serovar Aberdeen. RNAcentral's name for it is "bacterial LSU rRNA". It matches the Rfam family "Bacterial large subunit ribosomal RNA". Lineage: Bacteria; Pseudomonadati; Pseudomonadota; Gammaproteobacteria; Enterobacterales; Enterobacteriaceae. The record is from RNAcentral.
UUAAGCGACUAAGCGUACACGGUGGAUGCCCUGGCAGUCAGAGGCGAUGAAGGGCGUGCUAAUCUGCGAUAAGCGCCGGUAAGGUGAUAUGAACCGUUAUAACCGGCGAUACCCGAAUGGGGAAACCCAGUGUGACUCGUCACACUAUCAUUAACUGAAUCCAUAGGUUAAUGAGGCGAACCGGGGGAACUGAAACAUCUAAGUACCCCGAGGAAAAGAAAUCAACCGAGAUUCCCCCAGUAGCGGCGAGCGAACGGGGAGGAGCCCAGAGCCUGAAUCAGCAUGUGUGUUAGUGGAAGCGUCUGGAAAGGCGCGCGAUACAGGGUGACAGCCCCGUACACAAAAGCGCAUGUGCUGUGAGCUCGAUGAGUAGGGCGGGACACGUGGUAUCCUGUCUGAAUAUGGGGGGACCAUCCUCCAAGGCUAAAUACUCCUGACUGACCGAUAGUGAACCAGUACCGUGAGGGAAAGGCGAAAAGAACCCCGGCGAGGGGAGUGAAAAAGAACCUGAAACCGUGUACGUACAAGCAGUGGGAGCACCCUUUUGGGUGUGACUGCGUACCUUUUGUAUAAUGGGUCAGCGACUUAUAUUCUGUAGCAAGGUUAACCGUAUAGGGGAGCCGUAGGGAAACCGAGUCUUAACCGGGCGUUAAGUUGCAGGGUAUAGACCCGAAACCCGGUGAUCUAGCCAUGGGCAGGUUGAAGGUUGGGUAACACUAACUGGAGGACCGAACCGACUAAUGUUGAAAAAUUAGCGGAUGACCUGUGGCUGGGGGUGAAAGGCCAAUCAAACCGGGAGAUAGCUGGUUCUCCCCGAAAGCUAUUUAGGUAGCGCCUCGUGAAUUCAUCUCCGGGGGUAGAGCACUGUUUCGGCUAGGGGGCCAUCCCGGCUUACCAACCCGAUGCAAACUGCGAAUACCGGAGAAUGUUAUCACGGGAGACACACGGCGGGUGCUAACGUCCGUCGUGAAGAGGGAAACAACCCAGACCGCCAGCUAAGGUCCCAAAGUCAUGGUUAAGUGGGAAACGAUGUGGGAAGGCCCAGACAGCCAGGAUGUUGGCUUAGAAGCAGCCAUCAUUUAAAGAAAGCGUAAUAGCUCACUGGUCGAGUCGGCCUGCGCGGAAGAUGUAACGGGGCUAAACCAUGCACCGAAGCUGCGGCAGCGACGCUUAUGCGUUGUUGGGUAGGGGAGCGUUCUGUAAGCCUGUGAAGGUGUGUCGUGAGGCAUGCUGGAGGUAUCAGAAGUGCGAAUGCUGACAUAAGUAACGAUAAAGCGGGUGAAAAGCCCGCUCGCCGGAAGACCAAGGGUUCCUGUCCAACGUUAAUCGGGGCAGGGUGAGUCGACCCCUAAGGCGAGGCCGAAAGGCGUAGUCGAUGGGAAACGGGUUAAUAUUCCCGUACUUGGUGUUACUGCGAAGGGGGGACGGAGAAGGCUAUGUUGGCCGGGCGACGGUUGUCCCGGUUUAAGCGUGUAGGUGUGUGUUCCAGGUAAAUCCGGUUCACUUUAACACUGAGGCGUGACGACGAGGCACUACGGUGCUGAAGCAACAAAUGCCCUGCUUCCAGGAAAAGCCUCUAAGCAUCAGGUAACAUCAAAUCGUACCCCAAACCGACACAGGUGGUCAGGUAGAGAAUACCAAGGCGCUUGAGAGAACUCGGGUGAAGGAACUAGGCAAAAUGGUGCCGUAACUUCGGGAGAAGGCACGCUGACAUGUAGGUGAAGUGAUUUACUCAUGGAGCUGAAGUCAGUCGAAGAUACCAGCUGGCUGCAACUGUUUAUUAAAAACACAGCACUGUGCAAACACGAAAGUGGACGUAUACGGUGUGACGCCUGCCCGGUGCCGGAAGGUUAAUUGAUGGGGUCAGCGCAAGCGAAGCUCCUGAUCGAAGCCCCGGUAAACGGCGGCCGUAACUAUAACGGUCCUAAGGUAGCGAAAUUCCUUGUCGGGUAAGUUCCGACCUGCACGAAUGGCGUAAUGAUGGCCAGGCUGUCUCCACCCGAGACUCAGUGAAAUUGAACUCGCUGUGAAGAUGCAGUGUACCCGCGGCAAGACGGAAAGACCCCGUGAACCUUUACUAUAGCUUGACACUGAACAUUGAGCCUUGAUGUGUAGGAUAGGUGGGAGGCUUUGAAGCGUGGACGCCAGUCUGCGUGGAGCCGACCUUGAAAUACCACCCUUUAAUGUUUGAUGUUCUAACGUGGACCCGUGAUCCGGGUUGCGGACAGUGUCUGGUGGGUAGUUUGACUGGGGCGGUCUCCUCCUAAAGAGUAACGGAGGAGCACGAAGGUUGGCUAAUCCUGGUCGGACAUCAGGAGGUUAGUGCAAUGGCAUAAGCCAGCUUGACUGCGAGCGUGACGGCGCGAGCAGGUGCGAAAGCAGGUCAUAGUGAUCCGGUGGUUCUGAAUGGAAGGGCCAUCGCUCAACGGAUAAAAGGUACUCCGGGGAUAACAGGCUGAUACCGCCCAAGAGUUCAUAUCGACGGCGGUGUUUGGCACCUCGAUGUCGGCUCAUCACAUCCUGGGGCUGAAGUAGGUCCCAAGGGUAUGGCUGUUCGCCAUUUAAAGUGGUACGCGAGCUGGGUUUAGAACGUCGUGAGACAGUUCGGUCCCUAUCUGCCGUGGGCGCUGGAGAACUGAGGGGGGCUGCUCCUAGUACGAGAGGACCGGAGUGGACGCAUCACUGGUGUUCGGGUUGUCAUGCCAAUGGCACUGCCCGGUAGCUAAAUGCGGAAGAGAUAAGUGCUGAAAGCAUCUAAGCACGAAACUUGCCCCGAGAUGAGUUCUCCCUGAGACUUAGAGUCUCCUGAAGGAACGUUGAAGACGACGACGUUGAUAGGCCGGGUGUGUAAGCGCAGCGAUGCGUUGAGCUAACCGGUACUAAUGAACCGUGAGGCUUAACCUU